Molecule: transfer RNA, 76 nt
Filed under: Candidatus Babelota bacterium
Lineage: Bacteria
Also listed under: 3 other names
Description: Candidatus Dependentiae bacterium tRNA-Trp
Rfam family: tRNA
About the family: Transfer RNA (tRNA) molecules are approximately 80 nucleotides in length. Their secondary structure includes four short double-helical elements and three loops (D, anti-codon, and T loops).
Source: RNAcentral
AGGCCAGUAGCUCGAAUGGUAGAGCGGCAGACUCCAAAUCUGCGGGUUGGGGGUUCGAAUCCCUCCUGGCCUGCCA